Molecule: ribosomal RNA, 457 nt
Filed under: uncultured bacterium
Lineage: Bacteria
Description: partial 16S ribosomal RNA
Rfam family: Bacterial small subunit ribosomal RNA
Source: RNAcentral
CCUACGGGAGGCAGCAGUGGGGAAUAUUGCACAAUGGGGGAAAGCCUGAUGCAGCGACGCCGCGUGAGUGAAGAAGUAUUUAGGUAUGUAAAGCUCUAUCAGCAGGGAAGAAAUAAAGUCCUUCGGACUUUGGACGGUACCUGACUAUUAAGCCCCGGCUAACUACGUGCCAGCAGCCGCGGUAAUACGUAGGGGGCAAGCGUUAUCCGGAUUUACUGGGUGUAAAGGGAGCGUAGACGGCAGCGCAAGUCUGGAGUGAAAUCCCAUGGCUUAACCAUGGAACUGCUUUGGAAACUGUGCAGCUGGAGUGCAGGAGAGGUAAGCGGAAUUCCUAGUGUAGCGGUGAAAUGCGUAGAUAUUAGGAGGAACACCAGUGGCGAAGGCGGCUUACUAGACUGUAACUGACGUUGAGGCUCGAAAGCGUGGGGAGCAAACAGGAUUAGAUACCCGGGUAGUC